UUAUGUCUUGGCAUUCCUUGCGUUUUUUGUUUCGGUUUAAUUGUUGAAAAACUAUAACAAUUGAUUGGAUUUGGGUUUCGCUCAAUUUUUCUAUGUUAUGGUAAUGAAAUGAGCACCCUUGAGCAACUUCCGUGUUACCGGCUGCCAGAUGGAUUGGACCCAGUUGUCAGCCAAUCAUCUAGCCAGCCAGCCAGCCAACCAAAUAACGAUGAUGAUGAAAGUGAAUAGAUAAACCAAACGGCACGUAAAUGGUUUGCAAAAGAGAAGCGGUAAAUGAUAAAUAUCGAGUCCAUGAGUUUUUGAAGGGGAAUUUCGAUUGCAAAAUUAAGCAGUUUGGUGGCGCUUUUAAAAUGAUGAUGAAAUUUAAAAUCAUUUAUCGGAUUAGUUUCGAUUUCGUUAGAAUCCAAACACAAUAGGCCAAAACAAAACAGCAGAAGAAAAAAAUGGAGAAAGUAAGAAACAUGUUUGAAAGAAAGGCAUACAAAAAGAAAGUGGGAGAUGUAACAAAAAGAACUAUAGAUAAAAGAGAAGCGGAGGGUCAGUAGCAAAAAAAUAAAGGGAAAUACCUAAGAAGUCAAGAAUAAUUAAUUAAUAAAGUGAAAGUAAAAAUACAAAAGAAUCUUGGGUGAGAAAAAUAAUGAUUUUCAUAGAACAUGACAAAUAAGAGACCAAUUAUAAUCUUAUUAUCUAUGAAAAGAGAGCUUAAGUCAUUCUAAUCAAAAUUUUAGUACAAUAUAUUUCGAAAUAAAAGAAAUAAAAGCGAAAACUGAUCGAUAAAACCCAA
Drosophila willistoni is the source of this 784-nucleotide long non-coding RNA. RefSeq lists it as uncharacterized. The transcript has 2 exons. The record is from RefSeq and is a predicted model, not a curated record. NCBI's taxonomy places the organism in Eukaryota, Metazoa, Arthropoda, Insecta, Diptera, Drosophilidae.